UGAUGUUUCAAGCUGGGGAUUAAAUGCUUCAGAAGAGGAAGACUUUACAAGAGCAGAGGGACUCUCAAGGAAUAAAGAUCCAAUUAGCAUAAAACUGCCAUGGACACAGGGGUGGCCGAGUGGCCAGCUGUGCCCUGAAAUGCCUGAAGCCAUUGCAAUCAGUGCUCCACUGUCUGAGGCUCCCAAAAUGAAACACUUUGAACACUCAUUCAAAGGUGUGAAAGCAUGAAAUUGGCACAAUGGCCAGCUCCUGCAGCACUUCCCAUUUUUUUGCACUGCCUUCUGCCUCCCUUGUCUGCCCUUUCCGCUCUCCGUCCCUUGAUUCUGACAGUUCUUCAAACGUCUGCUUAAAGAGCUGUGGCAGCCUGGGAGAGAGAACUGGAACGUGUUCUCAGGGAAUCUCUAUCUUGAAGUGAAAAAAGCUGAGGAAAAAACAACUCCAUUCAAAAACCCUGAAAAGUUGGCUAAGACAAUGGACAAGAUGGACCUGAGAAAUAUGACUCAUUCCAAUGACAGACCGUCCCCUAUUCAGAAGGGAAACUAAUAAAGAUUCCUAAAAUGUAAGCAAACCUGCCCAAAUAUCCACAUUAUUUUACUGAACUAAAAUACUCAAAGAUGCAAGUGAAGACUAUAUCCAUCAGCU
Molecule: non-coding RNA, 643 nt
Organism: Equus caballus (horse)
Lineage: Eukaryota; Metazoa; Chordata; Mammalia; Perissodactyla; Equidae
Source: RefSeq, a predicted model, not a curated record